RNAcentral lists this ribosomal RNA (666 nucleotides) under Armadillidium nasatum. RNAcentral describes it as "partial 28S ribosomal RNA". It matches the Rfam family "Eukaryotic large subunit ribosomal RNA", at positions 663 to 945 of the family's 3401-position model. Lineage: Eukaryota; Metazoa; Arthropoda; Malacostraca; Isopoda; Armadillidiidae. The record is from RNAcentral.
GGACCAAGAAGUCUAGAAUAUGCGCGAGUCAAAGGGUUGGCUAAACCCCAAGGCGAAACGAAAGUGAAAACGAUUUUUUCUUCAUAGGGCCGAUCCGGUUCGGGGUGCGUUAGCGGGGAGUCUUUAUCCCCCUUCGCGGUCGUUCCCCUUCUUCUUCGGCAUCCUUUUCGCUGCUGCUGCUGCGCGCGUUUCGUGCGCGCGCUAGUAAGCGGGCGGGUAGGCGUGUCGUCGUGGUCGGGGCGCCGCGGAGGGUGGCUCCCUACCUUUCCCCUCGAUUCGUCUUCCAUAAAGUAUGAGAACGGCGCAGGCUCGGGGCUCGCAGGCGACCUCCCUGCCGCUAAGGCUUAACCGUUCGCAUCCUUCGUUCGGCGCGCUCGCAUCAUCGGUUGGUUCGUCGACGCUUCGUCGUCGUCGUCGCCUCGGCGUCGGCGUCAGCGUGGCUGAGGCCCCAGCCGUAACGUAAAAGCGUUCGUUCGAGGUCGUCGGUUCGCUGGCUAGGGACGAGCGGCGGGUUCUUUGAGCGCAUAUUUUAGUACCCGAAAGAUGGUGAUCUAUGCUUGGCCAGGAUGAAGCCAGAGGAAACUCUGGUGGAGGUCCGUAGCGAUUCUGACGUGCAAAUCGAUCGUCGGAGCUGUGCAUAGGGGCGAAAGACCUAUCGAACCAUCU